This 2304-nucleotide ribosomal RNA is filed under the name Epitrimerus sp. SC9 2. RNAcentral's name for it is "partial small subunit ribosomal RNA". It matches the Rfam family "Eukaryotic small subunit ribosomal RNA". The record is from RNAcentral. Lineage: Eukaryota; Metazoa; Arthropoda; Arachnida; Trombidiformes; Eriophyidae.
UGUAAAGUUCAAGCUCCGAUUAUGAGGGCGAAACCGCGAAUGGCUCAUUAAAUCAGUCAUAAUCUACUUGAUUGUUUAAAGGUUAUAUGGAUAACUGUGGUAAUUCUAGAGCUAAUACAUGCACAAAGGGGGCGACUCUUGGGUCAAACUAAGAGAAGCUCUGCGUUUAUUAGACUAAGACCAAUGACUGUAGCAAUACGGUCUUUUUUAAGGUGACUCUGAGUAAAUAAUGGGUGAAAGCCCAUGUUGCUGACCUGACAUUAAAAGCUCGCAAGGGCUGUCAGGCAAAUCAAUCGAGUGUCUGCUCUAUCAACUGUGGAUGGUAGGGUAAUUGCCUACCAUGGUGAUGACGGGUAACGGGGAGUUAGGGCUCGACUCCGGAGAACAAGCCUGAGAAACGGCUAGUAGGACUAAGGUCUGCAGCAGGCGCGAAACUUACACAAUGCUAGAUUAAAAUUAGCGAUGUAGUGAAGAAAAAUAACGAUGUACUUCCAUUUAAACAUGGUAGUACAAUUGGAAUGAGACGACUAUAAACCAGUUAGUCGAGUAACAAAUGGAGGGCAAGUCUGGUGCCAGCAGCCGCGGUAAUUCCAGCUCCAUUAGCAUACAUUAAAGUUGUUGCGGUUAAAAAGCUCGUAGUUGAAUUUUAGGCGGGCUCUAUUGGGAUGCAAUCGUUAAGACUUUAGGUUCGUUGGUCAGCCCAUGUCCUACAAGUUGGUUGUCAUUUCCCUAUAGGAACCCGCUGUUUCGUCACUUAAUCGAGUGCGAAGCGGGCUGGUACUAGGAUGAUAUUAACUUAUCAUCUUGUUUCAGCAUGUUUACCUUGAGAAAAUUAGAGUGCUCACAGCAGGCAGUUGGGGUGUAAAAGCUCCUUUAUGCUUGAAUAAUGUUGCAUGGAAUAAUAGAAUACGGCCUCGGUUCUAUUCUGUUGGUCUUAUAGAACAACAAACAAGUUGGUUGAAGCGAUCAAAAGUCUGUUUGCGAGUGUGGCUUCAUAGUGGUUUGUUGGUACGUAUUGUUGUACUAGGUGUCUUGUUGCCUGGGAGUUAAACCUCAGAGCCAUACGCCUAGAUUCGCAGCUUUACGCUAUCUUCAUCAUCUGCUAAGUUGCCAUUAAAGCACUCCUUACAUGGCUAGCUUUUCUAAUCAACUGAGGCAAUGGUUAAAAGAAAUAGUCGCGGCGGCAUCAGUACUGCAUCGUGAGAGGUGAAAUUCUUAGACCGAUGCAAGACUAACUGAAGCGAAAGCGUUUGCCGAGGAUAUUUUCAUUAAUCAAGAACGAAAGUUAGAGGUUCGAAGGCGAUCAGAUACCGCCCUAGUUCUAACCAUAAACGUUGCCAACUAGCAAUUGGGUUGCGAUUCCUUUAAUCGAAGCUUAAAACACUUCGAUCAUUAUGAUCCACCCAGCGGCUCUCGUAGGGAAACCAAAGUGUUUGGGUUCCGGGGGAAGUAUGAUUGCAAAGUUGAAACUUAAAGGAAUUGACGGAAGGGCACCACCAGGAGUGGAGCCUGCGGCUUAAUUUGACUCAACACGGGGAAACUUACUAGAUUAGAACUCUGGAAUGAUUGACAGAUUGAUAGCUCUUUCUUGAUUCAGAGGAUGGUGGUGCAUGGCCGUUCUUGAUUCGUAUUCCGAAACGUCUGCUUAAUUGCGAUAACGAGUGAGACCUCACCCAACUAACUAGUCGUUUUGGUGCGCUGUGGAACGCAAAAGUCCGGGUGGGAUUUGUGCAUGCGAUGCAGGUUUCGGCUUGUUGUCGUAUGUACUGCCCGCUUUGGAUGUUCUCUGCUCGCCAGCGGACUUCUUAGAGGGAUAAACGGUGUUUUAGCCGUAAGAAACGAGGCAAUAACAGGUCUGUGAUGCCCUUAGAUACUCUAGGCCGCACGCGUGCUACAAUGGCGUGUGCAGAAAGCUUGUUCGAGGUUUGUCUAAAGAGAACUGGCCGUUUGGUCGAGGUUUGCUCGCAAGGGUAGGCUUAGAUCGGCGGAGAAGUGACUUUAGUUAGCAGGCCGAGAGAAACCGUAGUCGAAAGAUUACGGCAAUCAUAAAUACACGCCGUGAUUUGGGAUUGGGGAUUGCAAUUGUUGCCCAUGAACGAGGAAUUCCCAGUAAGCGCAAUUCAUCAUAUUGCGUUGAUUACGUCCCUGCCCUUUGUACACACCGCCCGUCGCUACUACCGAUUGGAAGUUUUAGUGAGGCAUUUGGACCUGCUAUCCAAAGGGGAGGCAACUCUUCUGGGAAGGCGGGGAAGUCUGUCGAACUCAAAUUUCUAGAGGAAGUAAAAGUCGUAACAAGGUUUCCGU